RNAcentral lists this ribosomal RNA (392 nucleotides) under uncultured bacterium. RNAcentral describes it as "bacterial SSU rRNA". It matches the Rfam family "Bacterial small subunit ribosomal RNA", at positions 355 to 764 of the family's 1533-position model. The record is from RNAcentral.
UCGGGAAUUUUGGGCAAUGGGCGAAAGCCUGACCCAGCAACGCCGCGUGAGGGAUGAAGUAUUUCGGUAUGUAAACCUCGAAAGAAUGGGAAGAAUAAAUGACGGUACCAUUUAUAAGCUCCGGCUAACUACGUGCCAGCAGCCGCGGUAAUACGUAGGGAGCAAGCGUUGUUCGGAUUUACUGGGCGUAAAGGGCGCGUAGGCGGCGCGGUAAGUCACUCGUGAAAUCUCUGAGCUUAACUCAGAACGGCCAAGUGAUACUGCUGUGCUAGAGUGCGGAAGAGGCAACCGGAAUUCUUGGUGUAGCGGUGAAAUGCGUAGAUAUCAAGAGGAACACCUGAUGCGGAGGCGGGUUGCUGGGCCGACACUGACGCUGAUGCGCGAAAGCCAGG